CCUACGCGUGGCAGCAGUGGGGAAUAUUGCACAAUGGGGGAAACCCUGAUGCAGCGACGCCGCGUGAGCGAAGAAGUAUUUCGGUAUGUAAAGCUCUAUCAGCAGGGAAGAAAAUGACGGUACCUGAGUAAGAAGCCCCGGCUAACUACGUGCCAGCAGCCGCGGUAAUACGUGGGGGGCAAGCGUUAUCCGGAUUUACUGGGUGUAAAGGGAGCGUAGACGGCAGUGCAAGUCUGGGGUGAAAGGCGGGGGCUCAACCCCCGGACUGCUCUGAAAACUGUACGGCUGGAGUGCAGGGGAGGCAAGUGGAAUUCAUAGUGUAGCGGUGAAAUGGGUAGAUAAUAGGAGGAAAACCAGUGGCGAAGGCGGCUUACUGGACUGUAACUGACGUUGAGGCUCGAAAGCGUGGGGAGAAAACAGGAUUAGAUACCCCUGUAUC
RNAcentral lists this ribosomal RNA (439 nucleotides) under uncultured bacterium. Its description in RNAcentral is "partial 16S ribosomal RNA". It matches the Rfam family "Bacterial small subunit ribosomal RNA", at positions 338 to 794 of the family's 1533-position model. The record is from RNAcentral.